RNAcentral lists this ribosomal RNA (391 nucleotides) under Klebsiella pneumoniae. RNAcentral's name for it is "bacterial SSU rRNA". It matches the Rfam family "Bacterial small subunit ribosomal RNA", at positions 379 to 787 of the family's 1533-position model. The record is from RNAcentral. Lineage: Bacteria; Pseudomonadati; Pseudomonadota; Gammaproteobacteria; Enterobacterales; Enterobacteriaceae.
AAGCCUGAUCCAGCCAUGCCGCGUGAGUGAUGAAGGCCCUAGGGUUGUAAAGCUCUUUUGUGCGGGAAGAUAAUGACGGUACCGCAAGAAUAAGCCCCGGCUAACUUCGUGCCAGCAGCCGCGGUAAUACGAAGGGGGCUAGCGUUGCUCGGAAUCACUGGGCGUAAAGGGUGCGUAGGCGGGUCUUUAAGUCAGGGGUGAAAUCCUGGAGCUCAACUCCAGAACUGCCUUUGAUACUGAGGAUCUUGAGUUCGGGAGAGGUGAGUGGAACUGCGAGUGUAGAGGUGAAAUUCGUAGAUAUUCGCAAGAACACCAGUGGCGAAGGCGGCUCACUGGCCCGGUACUGACGCUGAGGUGCGAAAGCGUGGGGAGCAAACAGGAUUAGAUACCC